CAGGGAAUCUUGCACAAUGGGCGAAAGCCUGAUGCAGCGACGCCGCGUGGGGGAUGAAGGCCUUAGGGUCGUAAACCCCUUUCAGCAGGGACGAAAAUGACGGUACCUGCAGAAGAAGCCCCGGCCAACUACGUGCCAGCAGCCGCGGUAAGACGUAGGGGGCGAGCGUUGUCCGGAUUUAUUGGGCGUAAAGAGCUCGUAGGCGGUUGCGUAAGUCGGAUGUGAAAACUCAGGGCUCAACCCUGAGACGCCAUCCGAUACUGCGCUGACUUGAAUCCAGUAGGGGAGUGUGGAAUUCCUGGUGUAGCGGUGAAAUGCGCAGAUAUCAGGAGGAACACCCAUGGCGAAGGCAGCACUCUGGGCUGGUAUUGACGCUGAGGAGCGAAAGCAUGGGUAGCGAACAGGAUUAGAUACCCAAGUAGUCCCUGAGCGGGCUGGCAAGGCGC
Molecule: ribosomal RNA, 446 nt
Filed under: uncultured bacterium
Lineage: Bacteria
Description: bacterial SSU rRNA
Rfam family: Bacterial small subunit ribosomal RNA
Source: RNAcentral